UCUAAGACCCCUCCUGAUAUUUUGCAGCUGGGUAGACCCAACAUUAUCAGCUGCUGCAAUCAAGAUCUGGCUGUACUCAUCCAGCAAUUGGCACAGCUUAGCGUCGUAAGCGAUUUUCUUAUCAGCCUUUGAUAGUUUGUUCACCAUUUUUUACUAGUUUAGUUUCUAAAACUAAAAGGAAGGUAAAGAUUAAAGCAAAACUGAGGGCCAAGACACAAAGAUAGUGUUCUGUCAAGGCGGACAGCAAAAGCGCGGCUGUCUCUUUAACCUCGGAGGUAGACGGUUAGGAGUGUAGUGGGAGAGAAGCAAAAACCCUAACACAGAUGUGAGGUUUGUGCGAGAUGGUAUUGUGUUUUUAUGCUGGGUUUCAUAGGGAGACCUAGAUCGGACGGUUGGUGUAUGCUUUCUAGAUUGGAAUCUAAUGGCUGUGACAUUUUCUCACUCUUUGGGCUUGCUUGGUUCCGUGGGCUCUGGAUUCUAGUUACUGGACCAGCCUUCUAGUGAGAGUUAGAUCGGACGGUUGAUAUUUGUUCUUUACAACGAAAUCUGAUAGCUGGUGUUUUUUCGCAUUUGUUGGGCUUUCUUGGUGCCUGGAUAUUUGUUAUUUUGAGUUCUUUUUAUUUUAUGAUUUUUUAUGCCGUGUUUAGCAGAGUUGUCUUUAUUGUUUCGGAAGUUAUUGAUAAUCGACGUUACGUUCCAUUUUAAAUAUUAUUAAAAAAAUAUUUUCGAUGAUAAAUUACCGAUUGAUUUUAAAAUUGUUAUUAUGAUAUGUAAAAAAAUUUAUAUUCUUUAAAGAGACAAAUUCAUUAUUCUAAGCUGGCUCUGUUUUAGGUUGGGAUUUUUAUUGAAAAAUUAUUCAUUUGUAGGGAUGACGACUCCUUUAAUAUUUAAGUUUAUAAAUAUAGAGUAAAUGUGUAUUUACUAUUUAUACAGUUAAUCCAUGAGGUUUAAACUUUAUUUGGGGAGAUAAAAACGUGUAGUGGUAGAGAAAUUGGUGUUGAAUUUUUUUUUUUAGUUUAACUUGGGUGUCCGGGCCAGCUUGCGCGUACCUCGAUUAAUUCCACGGGCCCUGAAGUUAACGACCAUGUAAGUCUCCAGUGGCCAUCUUAUGAGCAAUCACAGGGCUCAAACCUGAGACCACAGAGAAAAUAAAUUUUUUGAUCCCAAACUUUUAUCAUUGGACCAUCACCUAGAUAAUUUGGUGUUGAAUAUUAAUUGUUGAGUUGGAAUCAAUCAGCUAGCAUGGUGACUCGUUAAUUAAUAAAGAUAGUGGCUAGCUGUUAGCCUGUUACAAGCCCGUGUAGCAGUUGGUGUAAAAAUACAGCAUUGUCCCUGCAUAGAUAUAAACUAAUAAAAGGUUGUGUGUAACAAAAAUCGUGUGCAAGCUGUGUGUAGGAGCGGAGCUACCUGUGGGUAAGAGGGGGCAAUUUGCCCUCAAUUAUUUUUUUAAAAUAUUUUUUUUAUAUUAAAAAUAUUAAUAUAACAACUUAUAUCUUACGGGAAAAAAAGAAGAAAAAAAAAGUAGAAAAUAUUGUGGCUAGAGAAAGACCACAACUAGUGGAUUUAUAUCCCAAUAAUUUUUAUCUUCUUAUUAAUUUUUUUUGUCAAUUUCUUUGCAUCUUCUUUUAGGGUUGAUUUUUUUUAUCUUUUUAUCUUUUAAUUUAUUUGUAUGGAUUGAAUAUAUGUUAUACUCACUUUUUGGAAUUUAAGAAUUGCUAUGAUUAUUGAAUUUUUAGUGUCAUUUUUUUUUCAAUUCUCUAAAUAACAAAUUUAGUUAAGAUUAUUUCAUUUUUUUUUCUUUUCUUUCAAUAAAAUUUUAGAAUUUUGAAUCUAAGUUUUAACCGGUAACUAACAAAAAUUAAAUUUCUAGAACUUAUGUUUUUUAGUUAAGAAAUUAAGUAGUAUACCAAACAAAAGUUAUGUAGAUGACUUGUUAUUUUCAAGAGGCAAAAACACAAAUUCACAGUGAUUCAAUAUGUUUAGAUAACAAUUCUAAGAUUGCUUAAUGACUUGUUAUUACAUUAUUCAUUAUUUAGGGAGUGAAAGAAGUAAUUUUCAAGAUUAUAAAUAUAUAGAAAUCAAUAACUUGGAUCUGAAAAAAAAAUUAAUCUUUACUUUUUGCAUAUUAUCACUGCUAAUUAUUUAUUAAAGAAAGCCACUAAUUUGAAAAUAUAACGUCAAAAACAGAAUUAAUGAUCUAAAAAAUAUUAGUUAUAUAUUUUAGUUUACACUGCUACUGAUUUUUUAUAUAUAAAAAAAUAAUAAUGAACAAGAAAUUUAGUGUAAAAAUAUUUGAGUAAAAUAUUAAUUACCAUAAUUUUUCUAUAUAAACAAACCCUUUAUGCAAUAUACUUCAUCACAUUAGAGGAAAACAACGUCAUGCUUAGUACAUAUUUGGUAUAUAAUUUUGAUUUAAGAUUUAUCUUAUUAUCAUCAAAUAAAACAAAUUGUAUUUAGGUAAAUAUAUAAGGAUAAUACAAUUGAAUAUAUAUAUAUAUAAAGAGAGUUUGUUACUUUAGAUCUAAAUAUAAUUGAGAUCAAUGUUUGAUAAUUAAAUUAAAUUUAUGUAAUGUCUUAAUGAUUAUUGUGUAACUCAGCUGACUUUUAUUUAACAAUAAAUUAUUGUAUAAUUGUGUUAAUUGUUUAAUAAUAUCAUUGAUAUGCAACUUAAUAUNNNNNNNNNNNNNNNNNNNNNNNNNNNNNNNNNNNNNNNNNNNNNNNNNNNNNNNNNNNNNNNNNNNNNNNNNNNNNNNNNNNNNNNNNNNNNNNNNNNNUUUUCCUAUCAUCAACUAAAUUAAUUCUUUCUCUGCUAUGAAUAAAGAAAAGUUUAUUCAUCUUGCUCAUUUGUAUCUCAAUGAAUUGUCUAUAAUGGACUUUACAGUAUGACUAACUUGAUACGUAUAUCAUUGAUCUACGUAAUGAUGAUGAGUUGUCUAGUAUUGAAGGUAUUGCUAGUCUUGUAGAGAAAAUAAUAAAAACAAAGAAUGAUAUUUUGAAGAGAGUUUUUCAAAUUGGUCUAUAUGUUUGAUAUACAUGUUUAUAAAAUUUUCAUUACUUCUACUAGUUACAACUGUUAUAUGCAAAGAGUUUUUUUUUUUUAUGCAUAUUAUCAAGAGUAAAUUGCAGAAUUUAAUAGGAGUCAAGCGAAUAAAUAACAGUUUGAUUGUGUAGAUUGAAAAAAAUAUCAUUAAUGAGAUUGAUAAUAAAAUUAUUACGAAGCUGUUUUAAAAUAUAAAAACUUGAAAAAAAUAAUUAUAAUGUAAGUUUUAUUAUUUUAAAAAUAUUUUUAAAUUAAUUUCAUUUAGUAUACAUAUUUUAAUUUUAAUUUAUCUAUAUAAUGCAUGUGUAUAUUGUUACUAAUUUUGCUCUUCAUUGGAAAGAUCCUGGGUACACCGCUGGCUGUGUGCUGCAUGAAGAAUUUUCUUCUCUCUGCACCUUCGUGAGAUAGAAAAGAAAUACAAUGAUUUCAUUCCAAAUUCUUGGAUUUGCCAUUUAUAUUUUGGCUGUAGGCUGGGCUUGAAGCUAUAUUUCCCGAAGCCACACGUCUACAAGAGCACACAUAUCAGUUAUAAACCUUUAAGCAUCCAGUACUUGACUUUGUGAUUUGACUGCAUUGCGAAACAACACUGAAUUCUCUAAUAUGUUGUUAAAUGAGAGAUGAUUUUCUUCUCUGUGCGCUUUCACGAGAAUAAUGAGAUUACAAAUAUAGAAACGUUGACUGGCCUUGUUAAGCACAGAAAACCUCUUUUGCUUGAUUGCAAGCUAAAAGGGAAAUGUUGAUUUUUCUAUCCUCCGCUUCCUGCUUUGAUUUUUCUUGAUGGCUCGGCAAUGGUCAGGCUUAACUGAAAGGGAAAAUACUGAUCACGCACCGACGAACUACAAAAACUAUAAGUUGAUAUAAAAAGGCCACAUGUAACUGAAUAUUUAACACGUGAAAUGUUAAAUAAUAAUAUAAAUUAUAUUUUAAAAUUUUAUAUAAUAAUUUAAGUUAUUAGGUUGAGAUAAUUAUUUGAUAUAGUAUCAGAGCUUUAAUGAUUAAGCAGUCACAAAUUUAAAUCUCACUUUUUCUAUUUAUUUGAUAAAAAUUAAAUAUAAGGUAAUCUGGAUCUAUACAAGUUUUAAGUACAAAGAGUUUUUAUUUGAGGGGAUGUGUUAAAAAAUAAUAUAAAUUAUAUCUUGAAAUUUUAUCUAAUAGUUUAAGGUAUUAAGUUGAGGUAUAGAAAAUCCUCUUUUGCAAUCUUAACUUUCAUCAUUAUUAAUGACAAGAUAUAUAUGACCUCCCGGGCUGUAAAGAAUGUUGUCUCACGUAAUUUCUGAAUUUUCAAAAUGGUAUUUAGUCCACGAUCUUGUCGUCUCAAAACAUGUCUCUGACAAACAAAAUUCUCAACCUCACACAACCCUUGGCUUUUCUCGGUUAUUAAACACCUCCCUCGUCUUGCAGGCUCUAUUCUGGGUUCUCUCAUGACUCGUAACGUCAGGCAACAAAACCUGCUGAUUCGUUUACUAUCUCGAAGUAUGAUAGAGACAUACAUAUAUGUGUAAAAACAAAGGGCACCCGAGAGACAUGUAAAACCAUGCUAACCCAGUGCAUGCACACAAGAUAACUAAACAGAACAGACUCUCUUUUUCAGGCAUAAUAAAUUGUGAUUUAUCUUGUCUUUGUAGUAGUUGCCACUUUAUACAAUGCUUUCCUCUGUUCUGAUAGGCAUGGGUUUCAUUGUUCGGCUAAUGGAAGAACAGAUACAAGCCGGUGAGUCGGUGACGGCAUGGUUUUCAUAAGGUUGGUUUCAUUACUAAACAUAAAUGUCUUUUAAAAUAGUAGUUUUUCUUUCUACCAAACAGCGAAUGAACGAAGGGUUGGGCCGAGAAGAUUUUAUGGGUCUGACUAGUAAAGAACCCACGGCCCAUUUACUUAUGGUUGGAUUUAGAGCACAAACAAAAUUUAUAGAGUCAAUUUAAUGUUUUUUUUUUUUUAAAAAUAAAUCUCAUUUAAUUUAUCGAAUUGACGCAAACCCAGUACUAGUAAUAAAUUGGGUGUUUUUCAUUACAAUAUAAUUCAACUCCUUUACCAAAAUAACCAUACUUUAAUUCAUAUGGAUUUUUAUGCAAAGGUGCUUCCAGAAUAUGGCUAUCUAAUGGGAUUAGAACUCCUUGAAGUGCAAUGCUUUUUGGAGUGUGCAUUUAGUCACUUUGUUGAGUUUUUUUAUAUAUUUUCUUUUAUCAGUUUCAAGUGAAUGAUGACACCCCUAGCUAGUUGCUGCCAGGGAACUGAAUCCUUGUUUCGACCAAUCUAAUUAUGCAACUGAUCGAUGUUUUGAUUUCAAUUUAAGUUUUGGAUGUCUAAUCUUAUAAUAUUCAUGAAGAAGCAACCAAACGACUGUUGUGGUAUUAAUUGAUUGAUGAGUAAGUUGAGAAUAAUGUCUAAGAGAUGCUGGGAGAAUCGUUCUGCCACCAAGUUAAAUUUGCUGCAUAAUCUCCUUUCUCACUUCCUUAAAAUUCGUAGUGGAUGGCUCAAUAUCUCUGUUAUUCCCCACAAACCGAGUCCUUGAAGUCCUAAUAAAGAAUAGAAGUGGAAAUCAAGAGAACAAAAGGAUUGUCAUAAUGACAAGCAAUAAACAAAGAACGUUGACCAACUUUGUACGUGGGGAGUAGUAGCUAGAGGAAAUCAAUUUUUACACUUGAUUCCAAUUGCUAACAUUCUUCACUUUUAGCUUCGUUUUUCUUUGUCUACUGGCAGAUGGCAAUGACCUGCUGACAAGCGGUGACUAAAAGGGAAAUAUAACACUGAUCAUGGGUUACAAGACAGAAAAUCAAAGAACUAUAGCUUGAUAUUAAAAGGUGAUCGCUGAUAUCGCAUGCAAAGAGAGGAAAAGAAUUUCUUCUUUUGCAAUCUCAACUUGCACUAUUCUUGCUAACAAGAUAAGGCCUCCCACGAUGGCAGGAAUCUUCUCUCCACACGUAAUUCUAUUUGGCUUAAAGUGGCUUUAGGCUUCGAUCUUGUCUCGUAAAGCAUUUCCUCUGUAUCGAAAUUCCCACCCACUUAACUCCUUAUUGGCUUUUAUCAGUUGUCAAGUAACUGAUCUCUUAUCUUGUUGAUCUAUUCUCGGGUUAUCUAGCAGCCAUAAUUGGCAUUGCAAGAUUAAGAAAAUCAAGUUACAAUUCCAUGCUUCAUUUAUUUUACAGGAAGUGUAAGAGAAUAUGGAGAGAAGCUGAUCAUAAUGGGCUAACCUUUUGUCUUCUGCAACUUAAUUAAUGGUGACUUUUGUCAGUGUAGGAGCUAAAAUGGCCAGCCAUCGUCAAUAUGGUGAAAGAAAUAUUCAAUGCUUAGCCAUAAGAGGUGAGAACUUACACAGGUUGCGAACAUAAACUCGGUUGUAAAUACGACAACUCACUAAUGGCAGACACAAGGCUAAUAAUCUCAGCUCUUCAUUAAUAUUGCGUGAUAGAAUUGAUCAUAGAUGAAGCCAUUAAAAAGACUGAUCGGUGAGUAAUAAAAGGGUAUAUGCUUAGCCUCAUCAUCAAGAAUCAAUGGUCAGUUACUUGCAUUCCUUGACUUCUAUCCUUCAUGAGGCAUGAAGACAUGUAUAUGAGAGACCAAGUGCAGACGAGAGAUUACAAGGCAGCAGCAGAAAUUUUUUGGUUCCUGCAUGCAAAUCAAAUUUUAUGAAACCUUUAACUAAUCCAUUGAUUGCAAUAAGAUUUCAUUUGACUAGCUAGUACAAAAUUAAAAACACACGAAUGCUAACAAUAGCUUUAAUUUUUGUGGACUAAUGACGUGGCAUUUGCUAAACAUAUUCGUUGUAACACUGAAGUUCUAUAUAAUACAUGUAAGUGUGCAGACUAGAAACAUCUCAAGAAAUCGAACCCAAAAAACGUAAAGCCUCUGAUAAUCUGAUCGAACGUAAGGAAUACAUAAAAAUAAAAAUAAUAACGAAAAAAAAACUCUAGUUAACUAGGGUUAAUUUGACCAACCCACGUCUCAGGAUAUGAGAUAAGGAUAAUCCCGCAAAUAAAAAAGGCACAGAUCACGACGCUAAAAGCCCAAUAACUUAAUGUCAAAUGAUGAAACUAAAAAAAAAAAUUAUUUUUUAAAAAUGACUUAAAAAAGAGACCGAACUUAAACCAAGUUAAUUUUCAAAACUAGUAGCCCGGGUCAUGAGACCGAGAUUACCCUGUAGAAAAUAGACAUGAAAAAAUAAUAAAGAAAAAUUAUCAAUCAUAAGAAAAUAAAAAUCACAAAAAAAAAACAACAAUCAAAAUAAUGAGGAUCAAAUGUUGUACAUAAAAUAAAAGCAAGAAAGUAAUUAGGGAUUAAUUAAAUUGAAAAAAAAUAAGAAAAGGAUAAAAAAAUAACAAUAAAAAAAGAUCAAAACUGGAAAUAAAUUAAAUAAAAUAAAAUGUUGAAGAAUAAAAUUAAAAAAAAAUUAAGUAAAAAGUAAAAAAUAGCAAUUAAAAAAACGAAAAUCAAAUUUGAUAUAAAAAUUAAAUUAAAUUAAAUACUUUGGGAUAAAAUUGAAAAAAUAAUAAACUUUAAAUGACAUUAACAUAAAAAAAAAUAGAAAUGAAAAUAAAAAGGAACAAAUUUAAAAUAAAUACAAAGUGGAUUUAAGAUUCACCUCUGGGUUUUAUGAUCACUAAUUGAGACUAAAUAUACAAAGCUAGAUGAUAUCGAGGUGCACUGUAUUAUGAAAUUAAUUAAUCACGUAAAUCGGUUUCGUGCAUGCAGAAGAAUCUCUACCUUACAGAGAAAAAUACAAGCUGANNNNNNNNNNNNNNNNNNNNNNNNNNNNNNNNNNNNNNNNNNNNNNNNNNNNNNNNNNNNNNNNNNNNNNNNNNNNNNNNNNNNNNNNNNNNNNNNNNNNUCAUGGCAGAGCAUACCUAAAGAUGGCCACUACAUCCAACGAGAAUAACCAAUCAUAAAGAAGUUUUAAGAAACUUGAUCCGAGAAAAAAGCUACUACGGUUUACAGAUCAUCCAUGGUAGAGCAAACCUGAUGAUAGCCUUAGACUAUACUUGUCCAGACUUGGACAAGAAGAACAUGGCCAAACGAGAAGAACCUUUACCGAGUGGAUCUGCAAAGCCCGUGGCUCUGAUAAAAUUUGAUAAAAUUAAUCAGUGAAGACGAAAACAAUUAUUUCGAUUUUAGUCUAAUUUUUUCAUGGCAAGCGAUUCCAGUCGAGAACAAUUUUUGUCUUCAUUAACGUCUCAACACAGUAUCGAAGAAUUCAUGGAAAUCUUUAAGCGCAAAACAUUUGCUGUUAAGCAUAGCAAUAAUUUCAAAGAUCGAAUUUAUUAGAAAACAGGUUUAUUUUAAGUGAAGAAAUACUAUUACACCUUGCCAUGUUUCUAUCCACGAGUAGGGAACAUGUUUUCCUUACGUCGACCAGCUAAGCAUGAGGGUAGCUUUCACUUAUUUGCAAAUCAACUUCUUCAAAGUGCAGUCAGGGAAAAAAUAAACAAAAUUCAAAAGAUUUAAAUAAGAAUCACAGGAAAACAUCCUACCAUGCUUUCAUGACUUGCUCAGUAAUUUAAUAACAAAUUGUCAGAAAAAACUAGGAAGACAGAACAGGAAUACAGGAAAAACUAAGUGAUAUUAGCCACAGCAUGGUAAAUUCCUAGAUAAAAACCAAAAUAAAACUUAGUCAAAAAGGCUGAAACCCAUGUCAUCAUCGGACUCUUCUGCUGGCUCUUCCUUCUUCUCCUCUUCCUUGGCAGCAGCUGGGGCACCACCAGGAGCGGCGGCGGCGGCGGCGGCAGGAGCUGCUGCGACAGCAAACUUGCUAGGAUCCUGCAAUCAAACAAGAACGUUAGGACAGUUUACAGCAACAGGUAGCAUAACUACAAUUUAAGUCUGAACAUGGAAUAUAGUCCAGUUAAUGAAUAAACAAAUAACAAACCUUCAGGAACUCUUUCACUUCCUCUGCUUGAGGAUAAGAAUAUUCAGUUGCAACUGCAACAGAAAGAAUAUUCUUGUAGGCAUUGAUGAACAUGUGUGGUGCAGCAGCAAGGGUUGGGUACGAGAUGGCCAGUGACAAGGAGGUGAUCAUAGUGAUACCAGUAGCAAACUUCUCAACAAGGUCAUCCUCUGUCAGGUCAAGCACAGUGGGGCUGAAGACAGAGCCAUUGUCAUAAACAGACAAGACAACCAGACCAUAAGAAAAUGGCCUAAUGCCAAGCUUUGCCAGUAGAGCAGCCUCAGAAGAGCCAACCUUGUCACCCUUCUUGAUCAGCUCGACUGGGGUGAUAAUUUCGACUGUACCCUUGUUAAUCUUGGUUGGAAUAUUGAGCACCUGUAGAAAAGAAUAAAGUAGCUAUAAGAGUUAAGAGAAAAACAGCAAGCACCAAGCAUGCUACAGAACUGUGUUGCAAAAAAAAAACCCAAAAGCUAUAAGCACAAACAUUAUCAUCAUGAGAUUUAGGUGACAGACCUGGAAGAAAGAGGUCUGGGAUGGAUCAAGCCCUGUGUUGCCAGGAGGUACAACAACAUCAAUUGGGGCAACCAGACCAACACGAGCAGGAGCUCCAACCUGUUUUAACAAAUCAAAGAAAUGCAUUUGAAAAAUUAGUGACAAACAACUUAUAAAAAAUAUCCUCAAUCACAAAAAAAAAUGACUCUGUUUUCUAGUAGUAUAAAUAGAAUUCAUGAGCAAAUUUUGUUUAGUGUCCUUAUUAGCAACAAACAUGCAUUCGUUAUAAUUUCAAUCAAAGCUAGGAAAUCCCAAUUAUACAUUUGCUCACCACCAUUUGGUAAUAUCACUCGGGACAAUUCAACACAUACAUGAUAUUAAAGUUUUUUUGUUUCCAGAGACAUUGCCAGAAUUCUUUAAAUUGCCAUUAAUCCUCAUUUUGUGUAAAUCUCACAAACCAGAAAUGGCCACUGUUAAUGUGUUGGUAUUAACAGACAUGCAACGACAAGGUACAAAUGAUUAAUAGUUCCAAACAACAAAAAACAGCAUAACUAGACCAUUUUUUUUUUGUUACGGAGACUAGUGAGAUUAAAAAAACAAAGGGAAUUCAAUCAUACAGUAUAACACCACAAUGUAGAUUAACAAUAAUGUGAAACAAUAGAAAGGAAUUGGAAUUAGCUUACAGCACCUUAUACUUCGCAACCUCCUCGCUCACUUCCUUGAGAUCACCUUUAGUGAAAAUCAACCCGACAUUACCCUAUUCAAACAAAACAGUAAAUUAAGCAUUAGUCAAAACAAAAAUGACCAACUUAAGCACAAUAAAAAAAGAAAUAAAAGGAACGAGAUAAUCUAUAUUGUUGUAUACCUGAAGGAGAGGGAUAAGGUUAAGGAAAGUUUUGUUUCCAGUUUUUUCAGAAUGGAUCCGAACAGACCUCUUCAUCAUGGUAUUCUUUCCCAUGAGCACCACAGAGUCACCUCUAAGACCCCUCCUGAUAUUUUGCAGCUGGGUAGACCCAACAUUAUCAGCUGCUGCAAUCAAGAUCUGGCUGUACUCAUCCAGUAAUUGGCACAGCUUAGCGUCGUAAGCGAUUUUCUUAUCAGCCUUUGAUAGUUUGUUCACCAUUUUUUACUAGUUUAGUUUCUAAAACUAAAAGGAAGGUAAAGAUUAAAGCAAAACUGAGGGCCAAGACACAAAAGAUAGUGUUCUGUCAAGGCGGACAGCAAAAGCGCGGCUGUCUCUUUAACCUCGGAGGUAGACGGUUAGGAGUGUAGUGGGAGAGAAGCAAAAACCCUAACACAGAUGUGAGGUUUGUGCGAGAUGGUACUGUGUUUUUAUGCUGGGUUUCGUAGGGAGACCUAGAUCGGACGGUUGGUGUGUCCUUUCUAGAUUGGAAUCUAAUGGCUGUGACUUUUUCUCACUCUUUGGGCUUGCUUGGUUCCGUGGGCUCUGGAUUCUAGUUACUGGACCAGCCUUCUAGAGAGAGUUAGAUCGGACGGUUGAUAUUUGUUCUUUACAACGAAAUCUGAUAGCUGGUGUUUUUUCGCAUUUGUUGGGCUUUCUUGGUGCCUGGAUAUUUGUUAUUUUGAGUUCUUUUUAUUUUAUGAUUUUUUAUGCCGUGUUUAGCAGAGUUGUCUUUAUUGUUUCGGAAGUUAUUGAUAAUCGACGUUUCAUUUUAAAAGCAUAAAAUUGAUAAAUAUAAAUGAAAAUAUUAAAAAAAUAUUUUUAUUGGUAAAUUGCCAACUAAUUUUAAAAUUGUUAUUAUGAUAUGUAAAAUAAAUUUUAUAUUGUUUAAAGAUAUUUGAUUUUGACAAAUUCAUUAUUCUAAGCUGGCUCUGUUUUAGGUUGGGAUUUUUAUUGAAAAAUUAUUCAUUUGUAGGGAUAACGACUCCUUUAAUGUUUAAGUUAAUAAAUAUAGACUAAAUGUGUAUUUAUACAGUUAAUCCAUGAGGUUUAAACUUUAUCUGGGGAGAUAAAAACGUGUCAGUGGUAGAGAAAUGGUGUUGAAUAUUAAUUGUUGAGUUGGUAUCAAUCAGCUAGCGUGGUAACUCGUUGGCUGUUGUUCAAUGCACCGUUAAUAAAGAUGGUGGCUAGCUGUUACAAGCCCGUGUAACAAUUGGUGUAAAAAUACAGUAUUGUCCCUGCAUAGAUAUAAAAGGUUGUGUGUAACAAAAAUCGUGUGCGAGCUGUGUGCAGGGGCGAAGCUACGUGUGGGUACGAGGGGGCAAUUGCCCUCUUAAUUAUUUUUUAAAAAUAUUUUUUAUAUUAAAAAUAUUAAUAUGACAACUUAUAUCUUGUAAAAAAAAUAAACAAAAAUAAAAGAAAAAAACUAGGCUAGAGAAAAACCUGAAUUUAUAUCUCAGUAGUUUUUAUCUUCUUGUUAUUUUUUUUCUUGUCAAUUUCUUUACAUCUUUUUUCAGGGUUAGUCUUAUUUUUUUUUGUCUUUUUCUUUCUUGAUUUAUUUGUAUUUACUGAAUAUAAGUUUGAAAUUUAAGGAUUAGAAUGGUUAUUGAAUUUUUAGUGUCAAAUUCUUUUUCAAUUCUCAUAACAAAUUUAGUUAGGGUUAUUUUAUUUUUAUUUUCAAGAAAGUUUGAGAAUUUUAGACCUAAAUUUUAACAGGUAGCUAAUAAAAAUUAAUUUUUUAGGGUUUAUAUUUUUUAGCUAAGAGACUAAGUAGUUUGCCAAACAAAAAUUAUAUAGAUGACUUAUUAUUUCUGAGAGGCAAAUGUAUAGUGCUUUAAUAUGUUUUGUUAACAGUUAUAAGGUUACUUAAUCACUUGUUAUUUUAUUAUUUAUUAGUUAGUGACUGAAAUAAGUAAUCUUCAAGUUUAUAAAUAGAAAUCAAUAACUUGGAUCUUAAAAAAAAAAGGAUUAAUCUCUAGUUUUUGCAGUUAUUGCUACCAGUUAUUUAUAAAAUAAAGCUACUAAUUUAAACAUAUAACCUCAAAAACACAAUUAAUGAUCUAAAAAAUAUUAGUUACAUGUUUUAUAUAUAUAUAUAUAUAUAUAUAUAUAUAUAUAUAGAGAGAGAGAGAGAGAGAGAGAGAGAGAGAGAGAGAGAUUGUUACUUUAUAAUUAAAUGUAAUUGAGAUUGUUUGAUAGAUAAAUCAAAUACAUUUAAUGUCCUAAUGAUUAUUGUGUAACUUAACAGAAUUUUUUAUUAAUAAAUUAUUGUAUAGUUGUAUUAAUUAUUUAAAAAUAUUAUUGACAUGGAACUUAAUGAGUUAUGAUGAUUGUUUCACUUAAGUAAGUACAAAGUUGUUUUUUUGUGUGACAUAUUUAAACUCAAGUGAUUUUUUUUCUAUUUUUAACAAAGAAAAGUUUAUUUGCCUUACUCAUUUUUAUCCCGACAAGUUAUCUAUAGCGAAUCUUAUGGUACUUGAUGACCAACUUGAUUCGUAUAUUAUUGAUCCACGCAAUGAUGAUGAGUUCUCUAAUAUUGAAGGUAUUGCUAUUUUUGUAGAGAAAAUGGUAAAAACAAAGAAUGAUAGUUUGAAGAGAGUUUUUCAAAUCUGUAUAUAUUUUUGGUAUAUAUACUUAUCAAAUUGCUAUUACUUCUACCAAUUACAAUUGUUAUAGUGGAGAGAGUUUUUCCUACCAUGCAUAUUAUCAAGAGUAAAUUACAGAACAUGAUGCGAGAUAAGCGGAUAAAUGAUAGUUUGGUUAUGUAUUUCGAGAAAGAUAUAUUUGAUGAGAUUGAUAAUGAAGUUAUUAUGAAGAGAUUUCAAAAUAUAAAAAUUUAAAGAGAAUAAUUAUAAUGCAAGUUUUUGUAUUUUAAAAAUAUUAUGAAAUUAAUUCUGUUUAAUAUGAAUUAGCUCAUAUAUUUCAAGUUAAUUUAUCUAUAUAAUACAUGUCUAUAUAAUAUAAAAUAUUUAUUAAUAAUUAAUAUGUCUUCUCAUUUAAAAAAUCCAGGCUUCACCACCGGCUGUGUGCUGCUGCAUCAAGAAUUUGUCAUUUAAGAAUUUCCAUGAAGAAUUUUCUUCUCUCUGCACUUUCGUGAAAUAGAAAAGAAAUACAAUGAUUUCAUUCCAAAUUCUUGGAUUUGCCAUUUAUAUUUUGGCUGUAGGCUGGGCUUGAAGCUAUAUUUCCCGAAGCCACACGUCUACAAGAGCACACACAUCAGUUAUAAACCUUUAAGCAUCCAGUACUUGACUUUGUGACUUGACUGCAUUGCGAAACAACACUGAAUUCUCUAAUAUGUUGUUAAAUGAGAGAUGAUUUUCUUCUCUGUGCGCUUUCACGAGAAUAAUGAGAUUACAAAUAUAGAAACGUUGACUGGCCUUGUUAAGCACAGAAAAUCUCUUUUGUUUGAUAGCAAGCUAAAAGGGAAAUGUUGAUUUUUCUAUCCUCCGCUUCCUGCUUUGAUUUUUCUUGAUGGCUCGGCAAAGGUCAGGCUUAACUGAAAGGGAAAAUACUGAUCACGCACCGACGAACUACAAAAACUAUAAGUUGAUAUAAAAAGGCCACAUGUAGCUGAAUAUUUAACACGUCAAAUGUUAGAUAAUAAUAUAAAUUAUAUCUUGAGAUUUUAUGUAAUAGUUUAAGUUAUUAGAUUGAAAUGAUUAUUUGAUAUAAUAUCAGAACCUUAAUGACUAAGCAGUCACGAAUUCAAAUCUUACUUUUUCUAUUUAUUUGAUAAAAAUUAAAUAUAAAGGAAUCUGGGCCUAUACAAGUUUUAAGUACAAAGAGUUUUUAUUUGAGGGGAUGUGUUAAAAAAUAAUAUAAAUUAUAUCUUGAAAUUUUAUCUAAUAGUUUAAGGUAUUAGGUUGAGGUAAUUAUUUGAUAUAAAAAAUGGUCUUCUGCAAUCUCAACUUUCAUCAUUAUUAAUGACAAGAUAUAUAUGACCUCCCUGGCUGUAAAGAAUGUUGUCUCACGUAAUUUCUGAAUUUUCAAAAUGGUAUUUAGUCCACGAUCUUGUCGUCUCAAAACAUGUCUCUGACAAACAAAAUUCUCAACCUCACACAACCCUUGGCUUUUCUCGGUUAUUAAACACCUCCCUCGUCUUGCAGGCUCUAUUCUGGGUUCUCUCAUGACUCGUAACGUCAGGCAACAAAACCUGCUGAUUCGUUUACUAUCUCGAAGUAUGAUAGAGACAUACAUAUAUGUGUAAAAACAAAGGGCACCCGAGAGACAUCUAAAACCAUGCUAACCCAGUGCAUGCACACAAGAUAAUUAAACAGAACAGACUCUUUUUCAGGCAUAAUAAAUUGUGAUUUAUCUUGUCUUUGUAGUAGUUGCCACUUUAUACAAUGCUUUCCUCUGUUCUGAUAGGCAUGGGUUUCAUUGUUCGGCUAAUGGAAGAACAGAUACAAGCCGUUGAGUCGGUGACGGCAUGGUUUUCAUAAGGUUGGUUUCAUUACUAAACAUAAAUGUCUUUUAAAAUAGUAGUUUUUCUUUCUACCAAACAACGAAUGAACGAAGGGUUGGGCCGAGAAGAUUUUAGGGGUCUGACUAGUAAAGAACCCACGGCCCAUUUACUUGUGGUUGGAUUUAGAGCACAAACAAAAUUUAUAGAGUCAAUUUAAUGUUUUUUUUUAAAAUAAAUCUCAUUUAAUUUAUCGAAUUGACGCAAACCCAGUACUAGUAAUAAAUUGGGUGUUUUUCAUUACAAUAUAAUUCAACUCCUUUACCAAAAUAACCAUACUUUAAUUCAUAUGGAUUUUUAUGCAAAGGUGUUUCCAGAAUAUGGCUAUCUAAUGGCAUUAGAACUCCUUGAAGUGCAAUGCUUUUUGGAGUGUGCAAUUAGUCACUUUGUUGAGUUUUUUUUAUAUAUUUCCUUUUAUCAGUUUCAAGUGAAUGAUGACACCCCUAGCUAGUUGCUGCCAGGGAACUGAAUCCUUGUUUCGACCAAUCUAAUUAAGCAACUGAUGUUUUGAUUUCAAUUUAAGUUUUGGAUGUCUAAUCUUAUAAUAUUCACGAAGAAGCAACCAAACGACGUCUGUUGUGGUAUUAAUUGAUUGAUGAGUAAGUUGAGAAUAAUGUCUAAGAGAUGCUGGGAGAAUCGUCCUGCCACCAAGUUAAAUUUGCUGCAUAAUCUCCUUUCUCACUUCCUUAAUUCGUAGUGGAUGGCUCAAUAUCUCUGUUAUUCCCCACAAACCGAGUCCUUGAAGUCCUAAUAAAGAAUAGAAGUGGAAAUCAAGAGAACAAAAGGAUUGUCAUAAUGACAAGCAAUAAACAAAGAACGUUGACCAACUUUGUAUGUGGGGAGUAGUAGCUAGAGGAAAUCAAUUUUUUCACUUGAUUCCAAUUGCUAACAUUCUUCACUUUUGGCUUCGUUUUUCUUCGUCUACUGGCAGAUGGCAAUGACCUGCUGACAAGCGGUGACUAAAAGGGAAACAUAACACUGAUCAUGGGUUACAAGACAGAAAAUCAAAGAACUAUAGCUUGAUAUUAAAAGGUGAUCGCUGAUAUCGCAUGCAAAGAGAGGAAAGGAAUUUCUUCUUUUGCAAUCUCAACUUGCACUAUUCUUGCUAACAAGAUAAGGCCUCCCACGAUGGCAGGAAUCUUCUCUCCACACGUAAUUCUAUUUGGCUUAAAGUGGCUUUAGGCUUCGAUCUUGUCUCGUAAAGCAUUUCCUCUGUAUCGAAAUUCCCACCCACUUAACUCCUUAUUGGCUUUUAUCAGUUGUCAAGUAACUGAUCUCUUAUCUUGUUGAUCUAUUCUCGGGUUAUCUAGCAGCCAUAAUUGGCAUUGCAAGAUUAAGAAAAUCAAGUUACAAUUCCAUGCUUCAUUUAUUUUACAGGAAGUGUAAGAGAAUAUGGAGAGAAGCUGAUCAUAAUGGGCUAACCUUUUGUCUUCUGCAACUUAAUUAAUGGUGACUUUUGUCAGUGUAGGAGCUAAAAUGGCCAGCCAUCGUCAAUAUGGUGAAAGAAAUAUUCAAUGCUUAGCCAUAAGAGGUGAGAACUUACACAGGUUGCGAACAUAAACUCGGUUGUAAAUACGACAACUCACUAAUGGCAGACACAAGGCUAAUAAUCUCAGCUCUUCAUUAAUAUUGCGUGAUAGAAUUGAUCAUAGAUGAAGCCAUUAAAAAGACUGAUCGGUGAGUAAUAAAAGGGUAUAUGCUUAGCCUCAUCAUCAAGAAUCAAUGGUCAGUUACUUGCAUUCCUUGACUUCUAUCCUUCAUGAGGCAUGAAGACAUGUAUAUGAGAGACCAAGUGCAGACGAGAGAUUACAAGGCAGCAGCAGAAAUUUUUUGGUUCCUGCAUGCAAAUCAAAUUUUAUGAAACCUUUAACUAAUCCAUUGAUUGCAAUAAGAUUUCAUUUGACUAGCUAGUACAAAAUUAAAAACACACGAAUGCUAACAAUAGCUUUAAUUUUUGUGGACUAAUGACGUGGCAUUUGCUAAACAUAUUCGUUGUAACACUGAAGUUCUAUAUAAUACAUGUAAGUGUGCAGACUAGAAACAUCUCAAGAAAUCGAACCCAAAAAACGUAAAGCCUCUGAUAAUCUGAUCGAACGUAAGGAAUACAUAAAAAUAAAAAUAAUAACGAAAAAAAAACUCUAGUUAACUAGGGUUAAUUUGACCAACCCACGUCUCAGGAUAUGAGAUAAGGAUAAUCCCGCAAAUAAAAAAGGCACAGAUCACGACGCUAAAAGCCCAAUAACUUAAUGUCAAAUGAUGAAACUAAAAAAAAAAUUAUUUUUUAAAAAUGACUUAAAAAAGAGACCAAACUUAAACCAAGUUAAUUUUCAAAACUAGUAGCCCGGGUCAUGAGACCGAGAUUACCCUGUAGAAAAUAGACAUGAAAAAAUAAUAAAGAAAAAUUAUCAAUCAUAAGAAAAUAAAAAUCACAAAAAAAAAACAACAAUCAAAAUAAUGAGGAUCAAAUGUUGUACAUAAAAUAAAAGCAAGAAAGUAAUUAGGGAUUAAUUAAAUUGAAAAAAAAUAAGAAAAGGAUAAAAAAAUAACAAUAAAAAAAGAUCAAAACUGGAAAUAAAUUAAAUAAAAUAAAAUGUUGAAGAAUAAAAUUAAAAAAAAAUUAAGUAAAAAGUAAAAAAUAGCAAUUAAAAGAACGAAAAUCAAAUUUGAUAUAAAAAUUAAAUUAAAUUAAAUACUUUGGGAUAAAAUUGAAAAAAUAAUAAACUUUAAAUGACAUUAACAUAAAAAAAAAUAGAAAUGAAAAUAAAAAGGAACAAAUUUAAAAUAAAUACAAAGUGGAUUUAAGAUUCACCUCUGGGUUUUAUGAUCACUAAUAGAGACUAAAUAUACAAAGCUAGAUGAUAUCGAGGUGCACUGUAUUAUGAAAUUAAUUAAUCACGUAAAUCGGUUUCGUGCAUGCAGAAGAAUCUCUACCUUACAGAGAAAAAUACAAGCUUAACAAGCAUCAACCUGCUCCAUGAGCAUGGAACCGCGUAUGACUAUGAUCACUCGGCGUACAUACAAGCAUAUACAUACGCUAUUAAUUUGUUUGGCCCAUGAAUCUUUAAUCAGUAUAUACACUUGUUAAUAAAAAAGGCAUACGUAUACAAAUACAUUUUCCUCAAUUUGUACCACCCACAUUGCAACUGGUACACAGAAACAAGUAGUGAUUAACGUUAGCUUUGGUCGAAAACAAAAUUAUGUUAACAGGACCCAUAUAAAUCAUGUAUUUCUAGGGCAGUGAUUGCAAGAGAGUCAUGCUAGUACGUAGGAAUCAAUGAAUGUUUGACUCCAUAUCAAGAUUUAUCAAAAUUCCUCAACGAAUCAUGUAACAGGAAAGAAAAUCUUCUCCUUUUCUGUUUGCUGAUAUGAACAAGCAUGGUCUCAUGGAAACUUGAAACUGGUACGUAUAAUAUAUUGGCGAGGCAUAUUUAAAUUAACUGGGAAAGACGUACGUAGUUCAAGGUUCCAUGUCCUCCACCAACAAUUCUCUCCCUUGCAAUUCUGGUUCAGAAUAAAGUAUGCCCCUCUAAAUAUUUUCACAUUUUUACUCAUUGAUAGUUUUCUCAAUUUUCUUAUUAAUAUUAAUUUUUACAGCAUGCCAUGAGUUCUUCUUAAUUUCUUCAUUUUUUUCUGAGUAGGUUAUGAAUUCCUUCCAUAUACUAAUUGUCCACGAUCAGUGUUUAGUGUAUAACAAGAUUAAUGAUUGAUCUUUACCUAAUAUCCUGCGUAUAGCAGAAGGAGGUCAUGUUUAAUUAUAAAAUCCCGGCAGCUCAAAUUACACCAUACAUACCACCAAGAACACAAUUAUAAUUACCAAGAAACUUUUCCUUUUGCCGCAGGCCAUAUUAUAAACUCACCAUUAUUUAGAACUUUUGUAGGCACUGUAGGGACCUUAGCAACUUAAUUACUAAAAAAGAUAACUUAUUUUUAACUUAUCUCUCUAAUCAUUAACUAUCCCACCGUUUUCGCUUCUUUUAUUUAAAUUUCCCUUUUCAUAGUGAAUGGAACACUUUUUAUUUAUUUAUUUAUUUUUCUAUAACGAAUGGAGAAAUUUUUUUAGCUUUGUGAAAGCGACUGUUUGAGAUUUUGUUUUUUAUUUUCUCCAGGUUUUGUUUCCGCUGCUUUCUUCUUUUGUCCAUAUUGAUGAGUUCGUAUACUGGAUCGUGUUGACUCCAGUAUUAAUUUUACCAAGGCAGGAAACUCUCGUCCUCCUUCAAAUUAAACCCCGUAGAAUGUUUCUUUCUAGUUUUUUAUCACUAAUAUCAAGUUAAUCAAUGUCAUUGUUGAUACACAUUAAUUUAUCAUCGAUCAAUAGUAAAUAAGGGCAAGUAUUAGGGGCAAUAUCCUUGUGAAAUCACUAGCUAGCUAACAGCAGAAGACACGCACAUUAAUGAAUUAACUUGAAUAAUCAGUCAAGAGACAGAGAUAAAGCGAGACAGGGAGCAUAUUGUGGAAAAGUUGAUAAAAGAGGAGGAACCGAGUGAGGAGAUGAAGAUGGCCCCUCCAUCCACUAAACAUGUUAUGUUUACUUACUUCAGGAUAAGAAACCAGGAGUUAACGAUGCCAUCAAUCAAUCAAUGGAGAUAAAACUCACUGGCAAAAUAUAUAUUGGAAUGCUGUGAACUUUUGACUGAGAAAAAGAAAUCAGUUUCACCAAGUAAAUUCGUGCAAAACUAGUUACUUUCAGAAGAAAUUUGCAUCGACACUUCAAUUAAGAAAAACAAACCCUCUCUCCAUGAUAAACUUUGUGAGAAGUAGUUUAUUUUUCUUAUUCAAUAUUAUUAGGAUUUUCUAGUUUUAUUUAUUUAUCUAUAUGGUUGUAAUAACAUUUUGACUAGUAAAGAUUUUGGUGAAUAAAAAUUGAAUAUUUUUAAUGUUGUUGUUGGUUUUUUAAAGUUUUGAGCUAUGGCAGACUCUGUUAUCCUUGUCUCUGUGUGUGUCAACUGAGACCUCUGUGUCAAAAAGCAACAAAGUAUGAUUUUGUUUCGCCUUUUCCCUAAUAACGUGUGGUAGAUGAGAUAACUAUAUAUGAUCUUAUGAUACCGACACUGUUGCGUGAUUUAAAUUUAGAAGGCGCCCUUCUCUUGAAUUUGUUUUGUGGUGUCAAAACGGAAGAGAACAUUAGUCUUACAAACAACAUGUUAAUUGCAUGAAAGAAUUGGGAAGCUUUCUAGUAUAUUAACACCAUUGCCACUUCAUUCCGAGUGAUAUAUACGCAUCCUGUAUGUAGUUUGUGAGAGUUGAGAUUACCUAGCAGCGAAUAGCUCUUUUCCUAUCGUAUUUUACGAAGAAUCAAGCAUGAGUUUUGGAUUGGGUUUUAGAUAUUAUAAUCUCGAUAAUACAAACAUGCCUUUCCAGCAAAGUAUCAAUUAAUACACACAUCCGAAUCCACAGCGUGAUACAUGGUGGCCUGUUUUAUGAAGAUUUCCAAUCUUUUUUACAGAAAAAGUGCCGUUUUACUGCAAAUUUAGUCACUUCCUGUAAGUGCUCACAAAAUGAAGAGAGAGAGAGAGAUCCGCCCAACUCAUUUAAAAAAGGAGGGUAUCAAAGUAACCAUUGAGACCAACACUCACAUUGAACAAGUAGCGCGACAGAAACUUGUCAUCUGAAAACACACAGGCAGAGUCAAAAUAUUUGUUUUUCUCCGUUUCUCAAAACACUAAAGGGCAGGGCAGGCAGUUUUCUCUGCAAAAAACCAACUCCUACUUGGUGUUUCGUUUUGUCAGAUCUCUUACAGUUGCAGUAUUCAAAGUUUCCUUUUAAAGAUAGAUGAGAGAGAGAGAGAGAGAGAGAGAGAGAGAUUGAGAGAGAGAGAGAGAGAGAGAGAUUCACUUUUUUGCUUGCUGGGUUAAUCCGUGAAUCGGAUUUUGAUUUGAGAGAAGGGUAUCUCAUAUUUAGUAAGGUAAAAGAGGAAAAUUAGUGUAUUGCCAAUUUGCCAUCCAUUGUUUCUAUCACUAUAGGCAAAGCUUUAACAGACGUUUUUGGAUUACAGUACUCUACUAGGAGUUUUCCUACUCUUAAAAGGUAUAAAACGAGAGAAGCACACCUGUGCUGACAAAGGGAGUUAAAGAGGCACAGGCUUUGCAGGGCUGUCGCACAUUUGUCCGUAAGAGGCCCCUAAAUUCCUCUGUCUCCACGUUAUAAAUCCAAGAGAGAUCCCGGCGGUUUCCAAAACCAACUAUCAUCAUAACUUCUUUUAGUUUCUUGGUCCGUUCUCUUCGUAUACUUCUGGUUUCUUGGUUUGGCCCAGACGUUGUCUUAAUUGUGGCUUCACUGUUUGUUUCAGAUCUGUAGAGGAGCAUUGAAAGGAAAUGUCAACUCAGAAGCAAGCAGAGGAAGCUAUGGUCUCAAACAAUGACACUGGGCAUGAAGAGAAAGAAGUAAGCAAUGAUGAAUCCGGUUUUAGCCUUAAAAGCGUUCUUUGGCAUGGUGGGUCUGUCUAUGAUGCCUGGUUUAGUUGUUCUUCAAAUCAGGUACUAUUACACCCGGUUCACAAUUUGAAAAAAAAGAGAGAGAAUCUUUUCCUUAAUUUUGACCAAGAAAAAAUGGAACUUUCUUUUUGGCGGUCACAGGUUGCUCAGGUUCUGUUAACACUGCCAUACUCUUUCUCUCAAAUGGGGAUGCUUUCAGGCAUAAUUUUGCAGAUAUUUUAUGGUUUUCUUGGAAGCUGGACAGCUUACCUUAUCAGUGUUCUCUAUGUUGAAUACCGAAGCAGAAAGGAGAAAGAGAAUGUCAGCUUCAAGAACCAUGUUAUACAGGUUAGCCUUCCAAGAACAACCCCCAAUAUAAGAACAAAACAAAGUUAGAUAUAAAAAUUCGAAUAUGCUUUCUAAAACCUCUUUUUUUUUUUAAUUGUCUAUAAUAUCACUUUUGUUUUGUCAAAAUUUUGAGUCUGCAGUGGUUUGAAGUGCUAGAUGGAUUACUGGGUCCAGCUUGGAAAGCUGUUGGAUUGGCCUUCAACUGCACUUUUCUCAUGUUUGGUUCUGUGAUACAGCUUAUAGCCUGUGCAAGGUCAGUCCUCGUUCCUUUUCUGUUUUGUAAUUUAUCUUUUCUACUUUUCCAGUAUUUAUUGAAAAAUGCGAUUUGUUAUGCACUGAUUCGAGUGCGUUAUUGGGGUAAUCACAGCAAUAUAUACUACAUAGAUGACAAAUUUGACAAGAGGACAUGGACUUAUAUUUUUGGAGCCUGCUGUGCCACCACCGUGUUCAUUCCUUCAUUUCACAACUAUAGAAUGUGGUCUUUUCUUGGACUUGGAAUGACCACCUACACUGCUUGGUAUAUGACUGUUGCAUCUCUUGUUCACGGCCAGGUAACUAAAAUUUAGAUCAGCCGCCUGAUCUUUUAUAAUAUCUCCUUUAUCCACAUUCCACACCAGCAGGAUUUGGUUUUUGUUUUUCCUUGAAAUAUUAGUACCAUUAUUUUACAGGUUGAAGGGGUAGUUCACUCGGGCCCAACAAAGGCAGUUCUUUAUUUUACAGGAGCCACCAAUAUCCUCUACACUUUUGGUGGGCAUGCUGUCACUGUGUAAGAAGCCUAUCUUCCUCUUCUUUUAAUUGCUAUCUAUCACUGUGCAAGAAACCACAUAAAGUUUUUAGAUUAUCCCUCAUGAAUUUAUGGGUUAACAACGAGGACAAUUUUUUAAACCAACUCGAUGAUUUAAAUGAUCGAGUCUUGGGAAGUUUAGAGUUAAUGAGAUUCCAUCUAUAAAACGCCAAAAGAAAUCAAUUCUGAUUCUGGUCAAAGGAACCGUGAUUGGAAGGCAUACGUUACACCUUAGAAUUUAGAUAGGGCCUGGCUUUGACCAGUCAAAUGUAACUUACAAUUUCAUCUUCAAUUUCCACACGCUAUAUAAGCACCUGGUUGGUUUUCCUUGCACAGAUGUUAGGCCCGCCAUGCCAGGGCACUUCUUGUCAGACUCUCCAUAGUCUAAUGUCGUGUCAUCAAAUUAAUUAUAUAAACCUGGACAAGCAAGUGGAUUAUCAUAACAAAUCAAUCUGUCACUCUUGUUUGAUACUGUCCAAUUUCAAGUGGUUUAUUUGAUGGCAAUGGCUUCUUGCUUACAGGGAAAUUAUGGGCUAUCAGACUUUCUAAAAUUUACACUGCGCUUCCUAUUCUAUAAUACUUUACUGACUCAUCUUACCUAAAGUUUUUGGUUUAUCAUAACAAAUCAAUCUGUCACUCUUGUUUGAUACUGUCCAAUUUCAAGUGGAUUAUUUGAUGGCAAUGGCUUCUUGCUUACAGGGAAAUUAUGCACGCAAUGUGGAAGCCUAAAAAAUUCAAGUGCAUAUAUCUACUUGCUACCCUUUAUGUGUUCACCUUAACGCUUCCAUCAGCUGCUGCCACCUACUGGGCCUUUGGAGAUCAACUCCUCACUCAUUCAAAUGCUUUCUCCCUACUACCCCGCACCCCAUGGCGUGAUGCUGCUGUUAUCCUUAUGCUUAUUCAUCAGGUUUUGUUUUUUUUUUGCAUAUUUUCUGUCAUUAGUCAUGAUUCAUGAACUGUUACGUUGACACAUACGAUGCUGUUUGAUCAGGAAAAGACAACCAAUAUUAGAUGACAAAUUCGUGUAAAAAGUUGUAAUUGAUUUGAUUGAUUAAUUCGGUGCAUGUGUGUAUGAAUUGCAGUUUAUAACAUUUGGAUUCGCGUGUACACCAUUGUAUUUUGUGUGGGAGAAAGUGAUUGGGAUGCAUGAUACAAAGAGCAUCUUGUUGAGGGCGUUGUCUCGGUUACCCGUGGUCAUACCUAUAUGGUUCUUCGCAAUUAUAUUCCCUUUCUUUGGACCAAUCAACUCAGCUGUGGGGGCUCUUUUGGUCAGCUUUACCGUCUACAUCAUCCCUGCUUUAGCUCAUAUGCUCACUUAUCGAUCUGCCUCUGCUCGACAGGUAAAUGGUCCAUUUUCUCUGCCUCUUGUCUUCAUCUCUACCUAAUGCUUGUAUUGUAUAUCUGGCUGGCAUUGUCUAAUGCUUCGACGAAGUAGCUAGUCAUUGAUUUCACUUUCUUAGUUACAAUAAAUUAUAAGACAAAAUGACAGAUAGAUGUACAUGUACCCAGAAAGGUAUAGAUGCUGGGAUUUCAGCCAUAUAACUAGUCACCAGGGCAAGUCCGUUUUGGUCCUAAUUUCAUGCUAGGUAACUUGAUUUGGUGAUAUCAGCCACUUAAUCAGUAGACAGUGUCUAAUUCCUGACCUCAUAGCCUGUUACUACGCAUUUCAGAAAUUAAAGCAUACCAAAAGCAUUAAAAGAUGUGGUAGAUGGGGCAUGUCCUGUUGUACAAAAUAAUUAAAGGUAAUCUCAAUGACUGUAGAAAAGGGGAUUUGAUUUUCGAAGUGCCCACAAUUUCAUGGAUAGCUCCAACUUGAUAGCUUAGCUUGGACAGUGAAAUUGACUUCGCUAUUCUAUCUCCACUAAUUUCUAUCUGCACAAGAUGAGGUUGGUAACAUCUCCUUGUCAUUCAGCUAUGUGCCACAUUCACUCUUCUACUCUUUUGUACUAGCCAUACCUUGGCAAUGGCUGCCAGUCUCUCUGAACGACUUGCCUGGGUCACUGGUUAUGUCCUCAAAAUAAAUUACUAUAAUACUGCUUUGAUCAUUACUUUUACAGUACACUUGAACUUAAAAUUAGAUUCUGCUGACUAAUGUCAAUCAAAUAAAAAAAAAAUUAAGCAGUGCUCAUUAAUCUGUACUAGUGGACAUCUUUAAAAUUGUAGCAUCCUUGACAAGUCUUGUAAAAACAAUCGUCUCAUUGUUGGAAAUGCAGAAUGCAGCUGAGAAACCUCCUUUCUUCAUCCCGAGCUGGACAGCCAUGUACGCAUUGAAUGCGUUUAUAGUAGUAUGGGUACUCGUGGUUGGCUUUGGAUUGGGAGGGUGGGCUAGUAUGUCCAAUUUCAUCAAGCAAGUUGACACAUUUGGCCUCUUUGCCAAGUGCUACCAGUGCCCUCCUCCGACUCCUGCAAAACAUCAUUAAGUUUGAGAAUCUCAAGUUAAACCAUAGAUCCUCUUAUAGCAUUUUAAAUUUCUCUCUCUCAUGCAUUAUAGACGUCACACGGAAGUUGGCAGCAGCAUCUCCUCUGCAUUGUGUUUUGUUUAAACCCUUCUAUAAAUAGUAGGUUAUUUGCGAACAGUGAUGUUUUCUGUGGUAUCAUAUAUAUAUAUCAACGUUGUUAUUCUCUGUUCACAAGAGUGCUCAGCAUCUUUUAGCUAUCUCUUGGGGAUCUGCAGUAUUGGCAAUAAGAGUGGAGUGUGCUUCUGAUAAUGUUCGAUAAACCAUCUUUGCUCUAGGAAAUUUAGGGGGAGAUUUGUGAGUGGUAGUGCUCACAUGGCUUGCACAUUACGUAAAAACCUUGUGUAUAUGAACCCACAUGAAUCCAAAACAAAUCAUUCGAAGAUUAUAGUCUACCUUAGAUCUCCUUUGACUGCCUCUUUUGGUUCCCUAAUUCGUUAUUCUAUUUAUUCAUUCACAUGGAUUUGUUACUUGUAUCUCCUCCUGCUUCCUUAUUGAAACCUGUUAUGGGAGUUGACUAGUCAAAUGAAUAGAAUGAGUUCAGAGUUUUCUCCAUAUUGAUUUUCAAUAACAACAACAACCAGAAAUGAAAAAACAAAGAACGAUCCAAAUGUAGUGUUUGUAGCUUUCAUCUUUGUUUCCUUUCCCUGAAUUUUAGCCACUUUUCAAAUUCAUGCCUGUUCCUUUUGCCCUCGUCCCCGAUCCAUCAAGUCGGGAAGGAGAAAAUGAGUGAAAUGGACCGACUACAACUUACAAUUCUCUUGAUAAAAUUUGAAAAUUUUUUAUUUUUUUAUUAACUUCAAAUUAAUAUGUUUUUAGUGUUUUCAAAUUAUUUUGAUGUGCUGAUGUCAAAUUGAUUUUUUAAAAAAAAAAACAUCAUUAACAUGCAUUUUAAUACAAAAAGUUAUUUAAAAAACAAUUAUUAUUGGUCUAUGAAAUGUCCGUAGACCCACUUAAAGUCGGUCUUAAAUGCGCUCGCGCGCUUGCUUUCUAUGAAAAGAGACGAAACUGGUUUCUUUUAUUAUUUGACAAAGAUGGAUCAAAUGGCUUGUUGCUUUAAGGACUAGCUACAAAUAUCUUGUCCCUGAAGAAAGGAUAUGAUGUGGAUCUUGUCGUUUCUUAUGACUUUUGGACUAUCAAGACUUUAUCAAAAGUUCCUCGAAGAAACGUGCUUUGAGGAAGAUAGAGCCAUGCAGUCUCAAGUUUUCAUUUUGCUCACAAAAGUAUUUCUUUUUUUCCCGAAUAAACAUGUGUGGAUUGAAAGUGAGCUAAAUUUACUGUGAGCGAUAAUGUUCUGUCACCUGAUAGUGCUAUCAUUUUCACUUAUUCAUGAUGGUCUUUGUACUAGCUGGUUAAUUUUGACUUCAGAAAAUGUCCCUCUAUUUGCAUUUAAAAUUUUUGACAUCGGUGCGGCCGUGCGGACUGAGGAUCUCCGUUCCCAGUAUGAAAAGCUCUACUUACUGGGCUUUCACUGUGCAACCGUGAUACAGUAAUCUAGGCUCAAGAGGCCACGCCCAUCUGCAUAGAUUUGGUGUGAUCCAUAAUGUUUUGGUCAUAAGAUUGAGAAUUAAGUAAUUGGUGGUUUGCAACAAAAAUCACAGACAUGAGGCUGUUCGGCGAUGAAAUGGGCUGGAUACCUGCACUGCAGUAGUUUCAGGCUUCUAGCCCAAAAGGGCCAUAUUCAUAUACCAAGAAUCACGGAGACGCCGUUUCAAGAGCAAAUGCGGUCCGAAAAGGGUCCAGAAGGGUAGGGUUGUCUAUUUCAUGUUAUAUUCUGAUUUAUUUAUUUAUUUUGUUUUAAGAAAUAAAAAUAAUAAAAUAGAUGAGAAAAUAUAUAUUUUUAAAAUAAAAUACUAUCUGAUUAAGCAUAGUCAAUAGUGUUCAAGGAAGCUAUAGUUAACUCCAAAGAAAUAAGAAUUUUAACUUAAAAACAAAAAAAGAUUUACUGGUAGCGGGAUUUCCUCACUCCAUGAGUCAAAUCCGUAUUUGAUUAUAACUUAAGUUGGAUCAAUUCUAGGAGGCAGACUCUUCGAGCCCGCAAACAACCAUACCUGAGUAUCACAAAAAAAGGAGGGACUUUUCUAGCGUUUCUAGGAGUGCAGUUUAAAAAUUCUGAAAUUAUUUUUAUAUAUAAUUUUAGAUUAUUUUGAUACCUUGAUAUUAAAAAUAAAUUUUAUAAAAUAAAAAAAUAUGUUUUUAAUAUUUUUAAAUAAAACAUACUUUUAAAAAAUAUUUUUUAUUACUAUCUCAAACACUCCUUUAUUUAAUGGAUGAGAAUGAGCUUAUAACCUGAUAUGCACACUCUUGCCUUGCCACUUGCAAUCGUCCGCUGUAGAAGAAUUUUAAGUAGCAACACAGUUGGUAUUUUAAGUAGCAACACAAUUUUAAGUAGCAACACAAUACACUAACUAGCUUGAUAUGCUUUCGACUUUAUCUGGCAUGUCAAUUGUUAAACAUUCUGAUAAUGGGUAACAAUAUCUCUGCAUCAGAUAACUGUAGCCGGUUGAUCUUGUUUUUUUCCCCCUCUAAGAAGAGGAAUCUUGUCUAAGAACCCUGUGAUCAUACAAUCGCAUGCCCGUAUAAACUGCUCUGUAUAAGCUCGUUUAGCCUGCCAUGCUCAGCAAUACUGCUUUCAUAGAUAGAUUGUGUGCCUGAGUGGCCCUUGACUCUCUGAAUAGUUUUCGAUGUUGAUGCACAUGAUUGUGAUUCCGUUGAGUUGGGCAUGAUCUCUGCUGUUGGACAUAUCCUAAUGCCACGAUUAUUUCUCUAAUUCCAUGUUUCUUGAAGGAUAACACCAUGAAAGAUGAGUCUGAAGAACCAUUCACCGCCCAGCACCGGUGGUCUUUCACUCCAACCAAGUUCAAUCAACAAGCAUUCCGUAUCCAGUACAAUGGAUAUUAGUCCUUAUCCGUCGAAGACUGAUGCACCAGAUGAGAAGCUUGGAGUGAAAGACCCAUCCCAACAAAAUCACUCUGCACAGGCUUCCUCUGUUGUUAAAUGAUAGUUAGAGAGCUUUGCUUAAUCCAAGAACAACGAACCAGGAGCAGAACAAGAACUUCAAAGGUUACUGCUAUCCCUCAAAUUUUAUUUAUAGAUAAAAUCAAAGAUUUCAAGAUCUUUAUCAUAAAGAAAAGGAAUCAUAAUAGCCAUAAUCUCAUUUAUCUAAGAGAUUACGUAAGUACAUAGGCUUAUUCUAAGUCAAGCAAAUAUCUAGCUAAAUUUAAACUUAAAAAUCAGGACAUAAAAAAAAUAUCAUAACAGAUAGAUAAGUAUGACUAAAAAAUAACCGAUAAUAACCUCUAGCUUUAAUACCCCACCACUUCAACAUCCUCCUCACACUUCAGCUCUUCACAUAUAACGGACAUUUUUACACGUUCUUUGAAGGAUAUACAGCCCUGUCCACAGAUAUCUUCCACAGCAGUCCAAUCUCCACAGCUGUUCUCCCCAUCACCAGUGGAUUCUCUUCCUGUUCAAAGGCAUAAACCUUGUUAUGGAUGGCUUAGCAGUGAUGAUGAGGAUUAACCAUUUCUUUGCUUGCAGGAUUUUUUUUUUAGAUCCAUAUAUUUGCAACAUUUGUUAGUAAAUGAAUGUUUAACAUUGUUAUAGUUUUUGUCAUUAUAAUUUGAUAAUUGUUUUAUAAAAAAAAUAGAAAUUAUAGUUUUUUUUAUAACUAAAAUCUCAAGAAUUUUUUUUAAUAAAUUCAUGCAAAAUUAUAAUUUGUAUUGAUUAAUUAAAUAUUUUUAAAAUUAUAAUUACAGCAAAAGACAAUGACAACCACACCAUACCACUACCAAACAGACGAAGAAAAAAAUAAAAAUAAAAAACAGUGCCGAAAUGGGUUUUCAAUUUCAGCUGGAACCUAAUUAAAUUUUUCAAAUUACAUUUUUACCACCGAAAGUUGUUGAAAUCUCAAAAUAGCCACUCAAGCUAGCUCACAAAAUGUACACGUGUGGGAUCCGGAUUGGGAAUUUCAGAUACCGAAAACAAAGGAAAAUAUCACAAGGCUUAGGCGGGUACUAAAAGCAGAGCAACGAACAAUAAAAGGGAUAAUUCCCUUUAGAAAGCAAGGUUUCUACUUCUUCGUCAGCCAUCGUCACUCACUCCCAAGAUAUCUAUCUGUUCCAGCCCCCGAUAGACAACACUGAAGAAAGAAAAAGACGAAAAGGUUUCCAAUUCGUGAAAUUUCAAUGGACACUUAGGGUUUUAAAUAAAAAGAAAGAAGACGUUAUUUUUUCUUUUAGAUGCUAAAAAUGAGUGUUUCGGCGACAUUUCGUGGCAAUUUUAGUUCCUUAUUGAUACCACAGAGCAGCUAUUGUCCUUGCGAUUAUCGUCCACGCCACAUUUUAGCUUCUUCUUCUGUUAUUUCUUGGCGAAAACGAUGUCGUACAAGAGAUUUCAAGUUGUACCAGGUUUCAGAGUAAGAGUUCUUCUUCUUCUUCUUCUUCUUCAAUUGUUAUGGAUGCUUAUAAUUUAUUUAUUAUAGUAUUACUCAAAAACGUGUUCUAGUUUUUUCUACUUGUAGGAAGCUAAUUAUACUGCUGUGUUUUAGGUUUUGUGAGAGGAGAGAAAUUAUUGUAUGUAGAGCUGCAGAGACAGAGAUUGAACCGGAUAAUAGCAACAAUGAUAAUAAGGUUAUUGCUACCUCUUUUCUUUUCUUCUGUUUAUAUAUAUACAAAUACAAUAAUAACAUGCAAUGUUAGCUAGAUUCUACCGUUUAUCUGGUUAAUUAGUUAGUUUGGUGCGUCUUUGAUUUGAUUUAAAGUUAUUGAAUUUAACUUAGGAGGUGAAGUAACAUAUGAUCCCUUUCACAUGCUUUGGUUGAGUUAUAGAUUUAGUUUUGAAUCCCAUUUCAUGAAAUUGGAUAUCUUACUUUGGAUGUGUGGGAAUUGGAAUACAAAUCCAAGAUCAAUAACUUGAGAGUUAUAGAUUUAGUUUCAUGUUAAUGUUUUUUUUUUGCAUUCACAUACGUGGGAUUUAUUUAACUUUGAAUUUGUUAAAUGUAUCUAGGAAAAAGAAGUGCAUGAAGGAGGAGAGGAGCAUCCUACCAUAGAUUCCGUUGGCCAAACUGACGACCAACCUGAUUCUCAGCCUACAAUUCUAAAUCAAAUAAAUGGCGGGGAAAUUACUACUGGAGGUGGCACCCAGGUAUUUAUAUCUCUUACUUAGUAUAAGACUUGCAGUUUUUAGAUUCUUUGUUUUUAUCAAUAUAGCUGUAGACAUAAUGUUUGCUCUAUGCGGUCAGCUAUUGCAUUUCCUUUCCCUUUUAACACUUAUGCAUGGAAUAACUGUAUGUUUAGUCUCCUUCUCUUGAAGGGAAAGAUGUGCUGCUUCUAAGUGGUUUUGAAUAACUACAGAUAAAUGAAACAAUAUACAAUGGUUGGCCACAACGUCCUGUAGCCAUUCAAAUUUCAUAAGAAAACUCUGGCUCCUGCCCUUGACAAUUCUGUUCAUCUCAGAGUCAUGUUCUUUGACAUAAUAUUAUUUUUAAUAGGUUCAUGUAAUUUUCUUUGGUUUGGGAGCAGGAAACUCAUUAUUAAAUCCCCUGACCCUUAUUACAUUAAGGUUGUGUUUGAAACAGGAAGCUGAUGAUGAAGUUGUCAGUGGGUCCCCUCUGCCAGGUGUGAAGGUGAUUUGCAAGUGCUUAGUUUUUUGCGUUUCAGUAGGGAUCUUCUUUCAAAGCAUACUUUCUUACUUAUUUUUAAAAUUUCCUUAACAGCCCCAGCAACUGGAUGAAUCAAUCAGGAUUCCUAAAGAAACAAUUGAUAUUCUCAGGAACCAAGUGUUUGGCUUUGAUACAUUUUUUGUGACAAGCCAGGAGCCAUAUGAGGUGAGCUACUAAUGCGCAAGGCUUUAUGUUUUUGCAUUUGUUUCCUUCUGUCCAUUACAAAUUCUCUAAGAGGGAAUAAAACCAAAUGGAUUUGCAAUCUAGGCUAGAAGUUCUGACUGAUUAUCCAAAGCUUACAUCUGUUCUAACCAGUAGCCCAAGUUUAUGUUAUCCUCAUUGUGCUUUUAUCAUGGAUAUCAGACAUUUCUUGAACAGUGAUUAGGUUUGCUCCAUCUUACUCAUUCUCCAUGAAAGAAAUGCUUUUGCUGACAUCCUUGCUGAAAGGGAUCUUCUCAAGAUUGUCUUAUAGUGUGGACUAGUCCAACAUAUUCAUCCACAGCUUCUAUCUGAUUGUUCUUGUGUCUUAUUUUUGAGAGGGUAGUUUGUUUUUGUUUCUUUUUCCAUUGUACCAAAAAGAAUGGCUCUUUCUUCCUUUAAAUUUUUUGAAAUUCUUUACAAAUUUACCUGUGGAAGUUGAAAAUCCAUUUAAGAAGGGGGACAAGGAGUGUGUGAAAUAGAUACAUAAGAGGAGUUUGCUAUUUCAUUUUACUCUUUCUAGUCAAGAGUGAAUAUUUCAUGUCUUUCUAGUUAAUUUGUUUGAUUUUUUGUUAUGCUUUUGGUAGGGUGGAGUCUUGUUUAAAGGAAACCUGCGAGGCCAGGCAGCUAAAAGCUAUGAAAAAUUAACGAACAGGAUGCAGGUGAAUUUAUUAGCUUCUUCAUUUUCCCCCUUUUCAUGCAGUUUUGUCACUGAUACUGCACACAAUUCAAUUAAACAGAAUAAACUUGGGGAUGAGUAUAAGAUUUUCCUCCUAGUUAAUCCGGAGGAUGAUAAACCAGUGGCAGUUGUGGUUCCAAGAAAGACCCUUCAGCCAGAAACGACAGGUAGUUUUAUAGCCUAGUACAGUGUUGUUAUUUUAUUUUUUUUGCCUGAUCAGCACCUUUUUUCACAGUAAAAUACUUAAAUCUCUCAUCACAAGAGUGAAGACACAAAUCAGAGCCAAUUUAACAUCUGGUUUAAACUACAAUGGAUUUAGCUUUAUUUCUGCAGCUGUCCCAGAGUGGUUUGCAGCUGGCGCUUUUGGACUGGUUACAAUUUUUACAUUACUUCUCCGGAAUGUGCCUGCAUUACAGUCAAACUUAUUGUAUGUAAUUUAUUUAUCUAUUCUUAUGAAUCAUAUUUACAUUAAUAAAAGCUAUGUUUUGCUGAAGCUGAGGGUAUUUAGAUUAACAAAGAACUUUUAAUUGUUUUCUGUCAGACUUUUCAUUUAGGCAAGUAUCUGAAAAGGUACAGUGUGAUUUCCAUGCAUACCCUGUUGUGGUUCCUUGUGCCCUCCUUUUGUGUUACAUCUCUUGAUUAAGGGUGAUAACUUGAGCAAAUUCUUUUUCUUUGCCUUUGCUACAUGCAUUUUCCAGAGAGGGUACUUCACUUUUUUUUGUCCUUAUUCAUGUGGAUAAUUUUUUGUUAUGCUGGGUGUUAAUAGUGCCUUUUAUAUCUACUCGUCUUGUAGUUUAUCUUCAAGGUUUCUAAUUCAUUUUUGUAUGAGCAUUUUCUUUGACCUUCUAGACUUCUUUCAUGACACAGAACUCAUAAAAAUUUUCUGACUAGAACAUUAAUAUUUUAAAUGUUCCAGAUCGACUUUUGACAAUCCUGAGCUGUUGAUGGAUGGGCUACCCGGAGCCCUUGUGACUGCACUUGUUCUGGGGGCACAUGAAUUGAGCCACAUACUGGUUGCAAAAAGUAAUGAAGUUAAGCUUGGGGUGCCAUACUUUGUUCCAAGUUGGCAGGUGAAAUAUAUAUAUAUAUAUAUAUUUAUAUAUAUUGUUGUCUUGUCUUGAUCUUUACUUAUGCUGUUCCCUAGCGUGAUUUCUUUGGGGAACUGGCUAGGAGACUGUUUUCUAUCCAAAGCAAUCCUUUUCUAUUGACUGAUCUAUCUGGGUCGGUGGCAGAUAGGUUCUUUCGGUGCUAUCACAAGGAUAACAAGUAUCGUGCCCAAACGUGAAGUUCUUCUGAAAGUUGCAGUGGCAGGACCUUUAGCGGGGUUUUCCUUGGGUCUUGUUCUUUUCCUUUUGGGCUUCAUCUUACCACCUAGAGAUGGUAUUGGUCUUGUUGUUGACGCUUCUGUUUUUCACGAGUCAUUUCUUGCUGGGGGUAUUGGUAAGUUCAUUUUGGAGUUUAUUGCAUACAGAUCUGCUAGUGCAUUCUGUUAUGACUUGCAAUGCUACAAAGAUUGAUGGAGAUCAAAUUUAUCUAAUUAUAGUUGACUACCUUGAUCUUUAUAUUUCUUUUCCCAAAAAAAGACUUGCAUUUUUUUUUCAGUGAUCAAGUUAUUUACUUCACAUGUAAUUUUACUCAAGCAAGUUGGAGACCGGUGAUAUUAACUUUGAGCUUUGCUUUUACCUGUAGCUAAACUUCUGCUAGGUGAUGUACUCAAGGAAGGCACUCCCAUAUCUGUUAAUCCACUGGUGAUAUGGGCGUGGGCUGGACUUCUUAUUAAUGCCAUCAACAGCAUCCCUGCUGGAGAGCUUGAUGGUGGGCGAAUUUCUUUUGCUAUCUGGGGAAGGAAGGUAUACCAUUUAAAAUUAAGCACAAGAGAAAUUAUAAGAUACUUCCAAUGGAUUGCCUCCCCGCCCACAUGAAAGCGGGACCCACUAUGAUAACACCAGUGGGGUCCGCUGCUAUAUGAGUGGGUAGUAGUACGCUGGGAGUAUCUGAUGAUCUCUCUAAAUACAAUAUAGCAAUAACUUGAAGGUUUAAACUCGAUGUUGUUGACCCGAAAGUCACUUUCAAAUGGCUCAGGAAUUAAAAUAUAACCUUUUAACCUCAGAUAUUUUUCUGAAUGUUUUGAGGUGAAGAGAGUGUGACACAGAUCUAGUUUUUCAUUUGACAGGCUUCAGCUCGCUUCACUGGUUUCUCCAUUGUCUUGCUUGGACUAUCCUCACUACUUAACGAUGUGGCUUUUUUCUGGGUAGUUCUAAUAUUCUUCUUACAAAGGGGGCCAAUUUCUCCAGUUUCUGAAGAGAUAAGUGAUCCCGAGAAUAAGUAUGUUGCCCUUGGACUCUUAGUUUUGGUCUUAGGAUUGCUGGUGUGCCUACCAUACCCCUUCCCUUUUACAGAUGAAACCGUUACAAGUUUCACAAGUAAUGCCAUUUCAAGUCUCUAGUCACAAUACAGUUUCCAUAUACUCCAGCCUAAAGUUGUUCUUAGAAUGUCAGACAGCCUUGUUAGUGUAACUUGUACAAGGAAAUGCGAUACACAUUUUAGCCCAUCAAAUUGGUGAAAUUGUGCUGUGUAUUGGCAUCAAGAAAUUCAUAUGCAUGGCUAUUUUCUCCCGUAAUUCUGUUCGUGUAAUUUCAAUAAAGUCGAUGAAUCUUUUUGCGGGUGCUUCUAUUUUUAAGUAAUGCCAUGGUCGAAGUUAGUACAGGACCACAUUCUGGGUGAACUGAAAUCAGCGAGAACAGAUAACUAUCCUGGAUUACCUUCAAAGGCAUCGAGUGCCGUUAAGUUGAUAUGUACCCUUACAGAAUGUCAUGUCAUUUCAGCUUGUAAGAACUGGGGAAAACGUUUCAUAGCUAGCUAGAUCCUUGUUGUCCAGAAAAUUCAAGUAUUUUGGAGCGGAUUAUCAUGUGUGUUUUCGGGUAAGGAUAUACUUGGCUGCGUUUGAUGCAUAAAUUGGGCAAUUAUCAUAAUAAAUUUAAAAAAUUGAUGAAUUGACAUAGGUUAAAAAAAUUCAAGUAUUUAGUAAAUGUUAUUUUUUUUAAUGCGACAAGAUAGUUGUCAUGUUUUAGAAUAGUAAUAUUUAGUAAAUGUCGUGUUUUUGAAGCGUGAAAUGAUUAAACUGUAUCAUUUCUGGCUUAACCAGUUGACCUAGUUUAUAAUGGUUAAUGAAAUUAAUCGAUUAAUUUUAAAAAUAAUAAGAAAAAUCUCAAAACUAUCAAAAUUAAAAGGCUCGGCGAGAUUUUUUAUAUCUAAAGAUCUGAUAGCCUACGUCGUUCUCUGAACUACCAAUCGAAUCAAAAGUUAUGGUUUUUUUGACAUGUUAUUCUAGUCUGGCAUGACUAGAUCUUCUCUCAAACCUAAAUAUGUUCUAUUGAUUUAUAAAUAUAUUUGCUAGGUUAUUCAUAAAAAAUUUUAGGAUAAGGACGUGUUUAUUUAGUUAAGACAUAUAUUUUCAAACCUAACUCAUAGGUGUUAUUUUGAUGAGAAAUCAUCUGCUAUUUUAUUUAUAAUGUUAUUGAUGGUGAUACUGAUAAAACUCUGUUUAUGCAAUUAAGUUGUGUGGAAAAUAACAUGCAAGUUGCCAAUGCAGUAUUUGGUUUCAUGCAGAUUUGAGGUGUCGAUGACCAGUAUAGAUGGAGGACUCGUCCUCUUUUGGCUGAUUAUCUAAAAGCAAACUUACUAAUGACAACCAGGUUUUCCCGAUAAUGCAAGUCACCGGAGAGUUGCAUGAUGAUCACACCUUGCUGGGAUGCCCUCCGUGCUGCAUUGCCUGUCGGAACUGUCAGUGGGGCACCAAAGGUUUGCUUUUGAUCGUAUUAUUUCCCAUUCAGAUGCUCCCAACUUGACCUAGUGUUUGAGCUGAACUAAAUUUGCGAACAUUAUUUAUUUCGUCACUACUUAUGCUUUAUCACGGCAUGUCUGGUAUGAGGACAUUCUUGCCUGUAGUGGCAAGCCUCUCUAUGGAAGUCUGUCAUGAUAACGUAUAGACUUUAUGGUCCAUUUUUUUCCAAAUUGCUUUUCUAAGCACUAUCAAGAUGCAAUCUUCCUUUCCCUUCUUCGGAAAUUCUGAUGAUCAUCAUUUGAAUUGUGAUACAGGUAAAGGCAAUGGAAUUGAUUGACCAAAUGGAGGUGUCGAGGCGUGGUCCUUACAGUGGAGGAUUAGGAGGGGUUUCCUUCACUGGUGAUAUGGACAUUGCACUGGCUCUUAGGACCAUGGUAUUCCCAACGGAAACUCAAUACAACACAAUGUACUCGUAUAAGGAUGCUCAGCUACGCCGUGAAUGGAUUGCUGGUGCUGGUAUAGUUGCAGACAGUGUACCCGAAGACGAGCACCGUGAGUGCCAGAACAAAGUUGCUGGGCUUGCUCGCGCCAUCGACUUGGCUGAGUUAACUUUUGUUAACAAGUCAUGAGGUUUAGCAACAGGUACAGAUAUAGAUUUCCAAUACCAGCUGACCUUUUGUAUGUAGCCAACCUGCUCUGGAAGCAAGCUAGAGUUGCUUGAGGAGAGGAAGAGAGAGUAAGAAAAGAAUGCUAGCCAAUUGUAUGUAAAACUUUUGCAAUAUAAUCAAUUUAUCCAUGCCAUGCACCCUAAAAUCUAAAUUUCUCUUCCCUGUCCAUCGUAAUGCAAGUGGUGGCAUUUUCUUCAAAUACUGUAAGCAUCCAUACAAGAAAACUAGUGAUCUAACUCUAAAAGACAGCUCAACUGAUCAGGCCUUCAGUUUGUUCCUCAAUGAUCACGAGUUUGAGUUCUUUUAAGGUAACUGGAGGCUUACAUGGUCGUUAAUUUCAGAAUCCGUGAGAUUAGUCGAGGUAUGCGCAAGCUGGUCCAAACACCCAUGUUAAUAAUAAUAAAAAAAAAAACUAGUGUUCUGCUUUUCAAUCUUACAAUGCCCGCAACUGCUCCCUGUGCUUGACAUUAGUUAUAUGCUUCCUUAUUGUACAUUGUUGAACAAGAAUUUGCAAGAAAUAAUCCUUUCUUCCGUAAUAUUAGUAAUAAUGACGUAUCAGGGGACAGUGCUACUUUAAUUGCAAACUUGAAAAGGCCUCAACUGAAGCUCCAAGGAAAUGCAUUAUUUUGGGUAACUAGCAGUAUUCAAAGGGAUUUCUUAAACAUGACAGGAGAACAAGGAAAGCCUGUCAAACUUUCUGUAUUUUAACACUAGAAAGACGUUCCAACAUUACAAUCUGCUUCUAAUCUAGUGAGCCUCUUCUAGAGCAUGGGCGUAUCAGUUAGUUUUUAUGGAUGCUUCUGCACCUGAGCCUCUUGACUAAAGCAUACCUUCAACCAGGGCGACGUUAUUUUUUAUAAGAUAGAAAUGGUUGCCAUUUCAGUGUUUUCUGCAGGCGAAGAUAAUUUCUCCAGUUUGCAGCAUCUGCAGAGAAUUUCAAAGUAGCUCAGCAUCUUUAAAGAAGUAAUGGUGUCUCUUUGUUGCUUCAAUAUACCUCUCACCACCUUCAAAAUAUACAUCACUUGCAACUAUUGCUUGUAAAAAUCUCAGAAUACAGUAAAAAAGAACCAUAAAAUAUAAGUUUAACUGAGAUGAAGAUAGAAACGUACCACUACCUGAAUAAUAUCAGUCUAACCUGGGACACCCAGCAAUACUCUUAGCAUAUUUCUAUACCAUAAUCACCCUAAAAAAAGACAGUGAUCACAAUUAAUACAGUUUCUGACAGCUAAACUUCUGCCUAAACCAUCCAACUAGCACAUAGUAUCACAAAAGUUACUUGUCACGUCAUUAAAAUCCCAAACUUAGAUUGUGUUUAUUUUUACAGUAUAAUCGUGUUUUUAAAAGGUUUUCAAUUUUUAUAUUAUUUUAAUAUAUUAAUAUAAAAAAUAAAAAAAAUUAUUUUAAUAUAUUUUCAUAAAAAAACAACCAAUAAUACAAUAAUAAACCAUAUCCGAUGACAUCCAUAAAUUGCACAAUCAACCAACAGUAACCAGCACAUUUAUCAAAGAUCUUAUUAAUCACCCCUUGAUCAAAGCAAUGCACACAAAAUCACAGCAAAUGAUAAAACGUAAGCACCUACAAUCAUGAUCACAAUCAUCUUUUACUAUCAUAAUCAACGAUCUCCGAAUCAGUAACCGAUCUCGAGUGCUGAACUAUAGACCGUCCGAUUGAAUUGAUCCAAUCCUCCUUUUCCUUCUCAGAAUCUGCAAUAAAAUACAUGGUAUCGUUCCUCGUAGACAACUCGAAUGCGUACUGUUUAUGAAGCACGUCCUCCGCUCCUUUAACUGUCAAGCAAGAGGCAACUGGGAUGACGCCACGUGGCUUACACACACGAGUCACGGUGGAAUCUUUGAACCAGAAGAGCUUCCCUUGUUUUAAAAUGAACCACCGGCGUCUCCAUGUCUUGAUGUGCUCCCCUUGUUUCAUUAACCACCCUGUUCGUUCUGGGUUCGACCAGAACUCGACCCCGUCCGUUUGGGUUGAUUGGGUUUGCGUUAGGGCCGUCGCGGCACGCCAGAGAGAUGCCAUGGAGUCAGAGAGUGACAUGGGGGGUUCGGAUUUGAAGGAGAGAGAGUUCCAGUUAUUGACGAAAUCGAGGUGGGAAAGAA
This 37867-nucleotide long non-coding RNA is filed under the name Populus trichocarpa (black cottonwood). RNAcentral's name for it is "long non-coding RNA (PTRI_LNC002104)". Lineage: Eukaryota; Viridiplantae; Streptophyta; Magnoliopsida; Malpighiales; Salicaceae. The record is from RNAcentral.